UAGCACGAAGGGGAGCCUGGGCUCCCCUUCAAGUUCAGUUGCAUGCUCUUUUUUGUUUUCAGGUGGCCUGUUGUUGUUUUUGGCAGCCAUACCUUUCUGGUUUUCCGAGCGACCCCCAUCCGGGAUCCAAGAGCAAACGUAUUUUUUUGAGCGCUGAUACAGCUUCGAUCUGUCGAUCCAACCGGUCGGGUCGCUGCCUGAAGGCAGUU
RNAcentral lists this unclassified non-coding RNA (209 nucleotides) under Pseudomonas sp. NFR16. RNAcentral's name for it is "Pseudomonas sRNA P29". Lineage: Bacteria; Pseudomonadati; Pseudomonadota; Gammaproteobacteria; Pseudomonadales; Pseudomonadaceae. The record is from RNAcentral.